Long non-coding RNA from Tachyglossus aculeatus (Australian echidna), 840 nucleotides. RefSeq lists it as uncharacterized. NCBI's taxonomy places the organism in Eukaryota, Metazoa, Chordata, Mammalia, Monotremata, Tachyglossidae. The transcript has 3 exons. The record is from RefSeq and is a predicted model, not a curated record.
GGGAUAUAGAAAAGAGAGAGUGAGAGAGAGUGCAAGAGAUAAACGGUACCCUACGGUGGAGAUGGGUGUGGACCUCAAAUCCGUCUAAUUGCGAUGGAGGACAUGAGAUGCUACUUGUUAAGAAGACGAACCCUGUGCCUCACAGUUGCUUCCAACAUUGGCUGCUUUUGGCUAGCGAGGUAGAAAGCAGGAUAGUCUUCCACCAAUCGCAAUCGAGAGAAAAAAACAGGAUGCAAAGUACAGCCCUGAUAAGACUGUACCUGGAGGCAUGUCUGCAAUUCUGAACAAGUCAGCACUAGCAAGGUGAUUUGGAAGAUCUUGUUCUGAAAAAUGGAAUAAAAUCAGGUAUGGGAAAGACGUGUGUAAGAGUGAAGAUUCAAAGAGCCAAACCGGACUGAUGUGCCUUCAAGAAAGCAAGAUGAGGAUGAAAAAAUAUCUGAAUAGUUUGAACACUGGCAAGAAAGUGGUUCCUAGAAAAAAUGCAGGACAUUGUAGAUUUAAGUAAUGGAGCAAAAUUGAACCAAAGACACUCUAGAUGGUAUAUUUCAAAUAAUUGCCUAUUUGUGAGAUCUGUGGGAAAUGGAAAAGAACACACUUCCUCUUCUAAGUGGUGAGAAGGGAAAUCAUUUAAAACUAGACUGGAGAAAAGCUCAUGAGAAUGUUUUUGGGGGCAGAGAAAAAGCCAUAAAUAUUUAAAAUUUGUAUUUCAAGAAUGUGGGAAACUGAAGAAAAGUAUUGAAUACACAAAGAUAACUGUCAACAAACACUUCUAUUCCAGGAAAGAAUACUAAAACCUUCAAUAUACUGUGAAAAUAAAACAACAUAGAGCCCAAACUUUGA